GCGUGCGCGGUGCGGGGCCGGCCGUGGCCGUGCCGGGCCCUCAGGAGGCCGCGAGCCUCCCGGGAAAGUUGCGUUUGUGCUGCCUGCGCACCCGACAGGAGGCGUGUUCCUCGGUGUGGAGGACAUUCCUCUCGCUUGCCACUGCUGAGUGACUUGAAAGGGUCCAUCCAGGGCCUGCCACAACCCUGAUGGAGUUAUCAAGUCCUGAUGAAUGUGAGUGAGUGGGAUGAGGAAAAAAAGGACUCCUGCCAAAUCACUGGAGCAUCCAAACUGCCUCAGGUUACAGCUUCAACUGAAAGAUUUUCUUCAUUUGUCGUCAGAAACAUCAUGCCAAAAACCAUUAGAAAGUGGAAGAGAUGUAAAAAGUUGUACAACUAAAAGCUGAAGAAAGAAAGAAGAUUUCACAAACAGUGAGGAUUUUGUCUGUGACCUGUUAUAACCCAGAGAGAACAUGCAAUGGGAUUUGUAUUUUUCUACAGAGUAGCUAUUUUCAGAGGCAAAAAGCCAAACACUUGCAUAACUCAAUGUGACCAUUCUGUGUAUCUGUGGCAUUUGUUACUGGACAACACUUUGACUGACAAUGUUGAGCUGGUAAAAGCAUGGGGCAUGCCUACAGAGAGCAGCUAGUUUAAAUAUUAUAAAAAUUAGAGUAAAUAGGAUCUCAGUCCUUCCCCUUUUUUAAGUAAAUUGAGUAAUUCUCCGAGCAUGUGAAAAAAAUAAUAAAAAACUUCUCUUCUGCCAAAGAACAGGCCAACGGUCUAGACUUUCUCUUAACUGGAAAUCAUCUAGAUUAAGAAACUCUGAAUAAACGCCUGACAGGCAAUUUCACUGUUUUAUGCAAUCAAAUACACUCUACUUAUUUGUGAAAUCCUACGAGAAAUAAUACAGCAUUUGAAUCGAGACCAAGGCUGGGAAAGACCUGCAUUUCUUACCGUUCUGUUCCUGCUGAUGUUAAGAUUCUUUGCAACCACGAGCUUUGCUACUGUAGCUUAGACCACAGUGACGAUUCAGCCAGCAUCAGAUCAGCUUUCCAUUGUUUGCAGACAUUUGGUGUGUUUGUAGGAAGAUACAGGUCUCUGUGUUUGUGUGUUUGUGCCUGUGUAUAAACUAUAAUUUGAUUACAAAGAAAUGUUGCACAGUUUAGUAGAAUCAGUCCAGGCCUGGGAGCCAGGAAUGCCUGGUGAAGCCAUUGCAAAGUUAUGAAGACCAGAAUUCCCUGUAUCAUCCUCUGGUUUUAGUCUCAUUUCGAUGCUGUCAAUCUGAGUUUUUUGAUGAAGAAGGGAUAAACAACUCCUGCUGACAUGAGUUAGCAAGAGCUCAGUUCCUCCAUGCUCUUAAACUGGGUUCCCUCGCCUUGAAGCACUCGCUGUCAGGAGUGGUUGCUUUUAUCAUCUGUCUUCACAGGACGUCAUGCAUCCUUAUGAUUCCUUAUGAUCUCUUCUUCGAAUUUUAGUGACCCUAAAGUGCUAAUGACAUGUUUAGUUCCCCAUCCAAGCACAACCAUAUGGAUGAGAUGAUAUCAGGAAACUCACUGAAACCAUUACAUCUCAGGCAUGCGGAAUUUCCAGAAAGUUCCUGUUUUCAGCAUUCAGUUUUAGUCUUCAAAUGCAGAAGCAUACAACCUGCUCACAUGAUGACAGCAGCAUAACAGGACAAACUGUCUUCUGCAGACAAAAUCCUAACUAUUUUUAACUUUAGAAAGAUCUGCAGAUGACUCUUCUUCCACUCAAUGUGGUUUUCCUCCCUUCCUUCUAGAGACCCUGCCCUUGGUAACUUUACAGUAAUUCUGUGUCAAGGGAUAUUGAUUCCUAACAGCAUCCCAAGCCUGUGAUGGCCUCUUCCAACCACCCAGAAGCUCUCCUGUAUCAGAUAGCUGAGAUGCUCCUGCUCAGACUUUCUUUUACCUUCAUGCUUCAGAAAGUUGCUCCAGAGAGAUCACUGUCCUUCCUCAGCUGCAAGGGAGGGACACAAGCGUGUACCCAGAGGAACAGCCUCACCAGGGCAAAGCAGGUGCUGAAGGUACAGCAUCAGACAGAGCCAGGAGAGUUAGACUCCUCCUGGAAGACCUGCUUACUUGUCCAUACACCAAACAGAGAGGAACCCUCACAGCAAACCCCCUAAUCCCACCCUGAGGGGCUGCAGCAUCUCCCAGCUGGGAUUUCACCCAGGAGGGAAGGCUGUGUCCAAAGUACAGCAACUCCUGGAGUGCGUGAAUCUGCAGGGAGGGUAAAUGUUAAGGGAGAGGGACGUGAUACUUGAUCCCGUGCUUUUUCAUGAGAUGGUUGUACUGGCUGGUUUUUUUAAAUGCUAAAAGCACAACCAAACCUUGAAUGAAAGGAAGCAUUGUGUAUGGAGCACAGGAAGAAUUUCUUUUACUGUAACUCGUAAGGAGAAAAGGAAAUAAAAGCAGAGCAGCAGUUAAAUGAAGGUCAGAUGAUUGUAUGAAUCAGAGGGUGAUGCAAGUUAUCGAGUGCACAGCUGAGUGCUCCGCCCAAUAAAACAGAUGUCACCAAGUACACAAAUACCACUUACCUAUCACUGCUUACCUCCAUGGAAAUAGUCUUCUUCCUCAGAGAGAGAGGACUGAGGUUUUUUUAGGAAAAUAUUUAUUAGAUAGGAUAGCAGUGAUGACAUUAAGGCAGACGCAAUUUCUUAAGAUUUUUAGGUAUUUCACUCCAUGUAGGUGAAAGCUGAGACACAGGCACUGCUCAGUCCUAAACACUGAAGAGGUGAUAGAGGCUGCUGUUGGGGUAUUUCCAGAGCUGUGUCUGGAAAUGUAUUUGCAAUUUCCAUUAAAAAGGGAAACACAAUGAAAUUCCUGCAGUGGCCUGCUUGGCCAAUAGGAAGCACACUGACUUCCAGAAAAACCCUGACACCAAAAACAAUCUUGUUAAGGUAAUAUAAUUGUUGCAUAUGAAGUGACUCCACAAGUGGAACCAGGAACCUUUGACUUUUUCUAGAAAGCUGAGUGGAGCUGCCCUCUAAGUGCCCUUACCUCCCCUCUGUGCGUCAGGGAUACUCUCAGUGCCAUACCAGCACAUUAAAAGCCAUGGAUUUUACCAGCAGAUAUCUCACUACCUUUUUUGAUAAAAAAGUGACUUACUUUUAUUCCAGAGCUUUUGCCAGUGGCAGACAUUUUCCAUGGCAGUCCAUUGCAUUGGAACAGUUGGAUUUCAUUGCUACCUUUAUCCAAGGCAAAAUUGCCUUUGCAGUAGAAGUGUUUUCUUUAUAUAAAAUAUUACUGUAGUAUUUGCUACUUUGUGAACCAUCAUUGGGUCUCACACUGGGAGGGUAUUACAAAAGUGCUGCACUUUUGAAGAAGGUACCAAGAGAAAUGGAAACAGUUUGUGGGUUUGCAGUUAAGGAGACCCUGGGCAGGAACCACCCCAGAGCUUUUUCCAGUUGUGGUCUAAAGAAGGAUGUGCACACACAUGGUAAAGAAUCUGCAAUCAAAAUUGGCAAGACAAGUAUUGCAGUAAGAAACUGAGAGCAGAGCUCUGCAGCACCUUGGGCCCAGGGUGGGAAUCAUCAGUAAAGCCAUGUCCUGGGAUCUGGCAAGACUGUGAGUGGAGACAGGUGUCAGGGACACCCCAGACCUGAAGGUGCAGUGAUGGUGGUGCAGCAGAUGAAGCUGUCAGUAACUCAUACAAUAACAAUGUAACGGAAUGGUUUGGGUUAGAAGGAACCUUUAGAGGUCAUCUUCUUCCAGCCCCCUGCCAUGGGCAGGGAUACCUUUCACUAGACCAGGUUGCUCAAAGCCCCAUCCAACCUCACCUUGAACACUUCCAGGGAUGGGGCAGGCACCACUUUUCUGGGCAUCUUGUGCCAGGGCCUCACCACCCUCACUGCAGAAAACUUCUUCCUUAUAUCUAACCCAAACUGACCCUCUUUUCAUUUAAAACCAUUUAGUUUAAACACCAUGAGCACA
Long non-coding RNA from Vidua chalybeata, 3928 nucleotides. RefSeq lists it as uncharacterized. The record is from RefSeq and is a predicted model, not a curated record. The transcript is spliced from 4 exons. Lineage: Eukaryota; Metazoa; Chordata; Aves; Passeriformes; Viduidae.